RNAcentral lists this unclassified non-coding RNA (320 nucleotides) under root metagenome. RNAcentral describes it as "partial contains small subunit ribosomal RNA, internal transcribed spacer 1, and 5.8S ribosomal RNA". The record is from RNAcentral.
UUUCCGUAGGUGAACCUACGGAAGGGUCAUUGUAGAGUUCCUUUUCAAAUAGAUGUGAAGUUGUACCAAUACCCAUUGAGAACUAAUCAUUUUUGCUGUCAGCACUUGCGUUGUUUAGAUGGGUUCCCUAUGCUGCCUUCUUCUUUGCUUCAUUUGAAGUGAGAAGUAGAGUAGAAAUAAACGACCGACACGGUUUGUGCCAAGGAUAGUUAUUGUUGAGGUACAUUGCCAUCCUUUUGAUGUCUUUGUGUUACUCUACGAGCAUAAACGUCUGAGCAUAUACGUUUGAAUGACUCCUGGCAAUGGAUAACUUAGCUCUC